CCGCGCCGGCUCCGGGCAGCCGAGGCGCUGGCACAGCCGGGAACGGGGGCCGGGGGCGGAGACACUUCGCCUACAAAGCCACCGAUGGGUGUUGGAUUUGCCUUCGGUGACCUUACGAUCUCUCCGCGUAAAAUGCUAUUUUACAUCAAAGCAGUCCUUUACUUUAAGGUUUGGUAUAUGACAAAUAGUCGACCAGUCUGGCAAGAGCACUUUGACAACUGGAAGCUUUCAGCGCAUGCUCUCCCAUGGAAUCAUGGGGUUUGAAGUCUUACCGAUAGACAGCAUUUCACUGCUGCUUCCUGAAAGGAAGAGAGCUCGACAGGGAAAAAAAUACUGGCACACUCCCUCUUCCCAGGGAAAACUGCUGCAGUCUGAAUCAUCAGCUCCGAGGAAAUAUCUGUCAGACUGAGCUGAAAGUGACUAACUAAACAUGUGCUUUUAAAUAGUCUGAUUUAGAAGCCCAGAUCAAAUAGCCACCUAUUCCAAACAACUGCUAGACAAAGAAAUAGUUCCAGUAUUUCCACACUUCCCUUACAAACUCCUAGCAUAAGAAAUUAAUUAUAAGCUCAUACCAGCUAUAAAGUUUACGGCUAUUACAAAGGAAAUCGUGCCACGUUGCUUAGCUGAAGAAUAUAUUAAAUAAUCAUGUGUCAUAAUAUAAUUUCUAAAUAUAUUCUGAAACUCAAACACAAAUAGGUCAAGUAUGAAAAUUUGAAAAGAAAUCAAAAUCAGUACAUAGGUGAAAAGUUGUACUAUUUUAGUAGUUUCCAAUUUCCAAGUUACAACUUUUUAUUACUGAAUUGUUACUACACUAAAAAUUCCACAAAAAAAAUAAGCUGCUCAGAAGAAAAUCAAGAUGUGAAUAUUACUAUUUAACAUUCCAUCUAUUCUGUACACUUCACCUCCCUUUCUUUCACUACCCACCAUCUGCAUAUCUCCAGCCUCCCCAUCAAUACACAGGCUGACAGGAGUUCCUCUCAUAAGAUAUUAAUAUAGUGAUCAUUAAUGUAGGUCGGGUAAAAUUUUCAGAAUUUCAUUCACUGACACUUGGUGUUCUGUUUUGCACUAGUCCGCGAAUUAUUCUGCAUAUUUAUUCUGGGUAAUUCAUAAUACUAAUUAUUCAGACCAAAUAGUAAUGCUCAUAAGGAAAUAUAUUGUUGAAAUCAGAAGUGUGAAAAUAACAGUGUUUAAUAAAAGUGCAGGCUGAUUUUCCAACGAUGAAAUAUGCAUAGCUUUGUGCAUGAAAGAGAGAUGACUAAAGCUGAGAAAAAUAAAUUAGGGCAGUUGAAAGAGUUGUUCUAACACUUACAUCUCUGCUUUCUGCACUCUGUUUAUGUUGGACUGUCUGGUCUGCCUGCCCUAAAUCAACUGUGUAAUUAAGAGUUUCUCAACACUUGCUCUAACCUGUUUGUGCUACUCUGAAUCAUUAAAGGCAGCAAAACUUUUUCUUACAGCAAUAGAAAAUACUUAAUUUUAUGAACUAUCCCACCUCUCACAGGGCUGGCUUUAGGCAUUCUGUGCCCUCCUUUAUGUCCCUAUUUACUUGUGGGUUAUUGCUUUUCAGAUGAUUUGAGGAUUCACAUGCAAGGGACCGCACUGUUUCUGUCAGUUCUUCCCAGGAAAGCUUCACUUGAUAGAUCAAACAUUAGGAUAAAGAAAAGCACUCCAGAACUAAAGAAAAUAAUGAUGUAAAGAGAGUUUCCGAUCAACUAGCUAAUAGAAGAAUUUUUUUGUUUAUUUCUAGCAACCAACUCCCUCAUAACUGGAAGUUAAAAGAUAGUAACGACAGCUGAAUCAGAACAGAAGAGCUUAAUUCAAUCUGCUAUAUGAAUUUUUUUACCUGGGCCAGUUCCAAAGAAACAAAUGUAAGAAAGGUCCAGAAUAAACCAAGCUAAU
Taeniopygia guttata (zebra finch) is the source of this 1896-nucleotide long non-coding RNA. RefSeq lists it as uncharacterized. The record is from RefSeq and is a predicted model, not a curated record. NCBI's taxonomy places the organism in Eukaryota, Metazoa, Chordata, Aves, Passeriformes, Estrildidae.